Molecule: ribosomal RNA, 253 nt
Filed under: uncultured bacterium
Lineage: Bacteria
Description: partial 16S ribosomal RNA
Rfam family: Bacterial small subunit ribosomal RNA
Source: RNAcentral
UACGGAGGGAGCUAGCGUUGUUCGGAAUUACUGGGCGUAAAGCGCACGUAGGCGGCUUUGUAAGUUAGAGGUGAAAGCCUGGGGCUCAACUCCAGAACUGCCUUUAAAACUGCAUCGCUUGAAUCCAGGAGAGGUGAGUGGAAUUCCGAGUGUAGAGGUGAAAUUCGUAGAUAUUCGGAAGAACACCAGUGGCGAAGGCGGCUCACUGGACUGGUAUUGACGCUGAGGUACGAAAGCGUGGGGAGCAAACAGG